This 253-nucleotide ribosomal RNA is filed under the name uncultured bacterium. RNAcentral's name for it is "partial 16S ribosomal RNA". It matches the Rfam family "Bacterial small subunit ribosomal RNA", at positions 524 to 776 of the family's 1533-position model. The record is from RNAcentral.
UACGGGGGGGGCAAGCGUUGUUCGGAUUUACUGGGCGUAAAGGGCUCGUAGGUGGCCAACUAAGUCAGACGUGAAAUCCCUCGGCUUAACCGGGGAACUGCGUCUGAUACUGGAUGGCUUGAGUUUGGGAGAGGGACGCGGAAUUCCAGGUGUAGCGGUGAAAUGCGUAGAGAUCGGGAGGAACACCCGUGGCGAAGGCGGCCAUCUGGACCAGUACUGACGCUGAGGCACGAAAGCGUGGGGAGCAAACAGG